GUCCUAGCCGUAAACGAUGGACACUAGGUGUCGGUUCCGUCAGGAAUCGGUGCCGUAGCCAACGCGUUAAGUGUCCCACCUGAGGAGUACGGCCGCAAGGUUGAAACUCAAAGGAAUUGACGGGGGCCAGCACAAGCGGUGGAACAUGUGGUUCAAUUCGAUGCUACGCGAAGAACCUUACCCAGGCUUGACAUGCUUGAAGUAGGAACCUGAAAGGGCAACGACUCGUAACCAGUCGAGAACUUGCACAGGUGCUGCAUGGCUGUCGU
Molecule: ribosomal RNA, 269 nt
Filed under: uncultured bacterium
Lineage: Bacteria
Description: partial 16S ribosomal RNA
Rfam family: Bacterial small subunit ribosomal RNA
Source: RNAcentral